GAUGAACGCUGGCGGCGUGCUUAACACAUGCAAGUCGAACGAAUCACUUUAUUUGAUUUCCUUCGGGACUGAUUAUUUUGUGACUGAGUGGCGGACGGGUGAGUAACGCGUGGGUAACCUGCCUUGUACAGGGGGAUAACAGCUGGAAACGGCUGCGAAUACCGCAUAAGCGCCCAGCAUCGCAUGGUGCAGUGAGGAGAACUCCGGUGGUAUAAGAUGGACCCGCGUUGGGUUAGCUAGUGGGGGAGGUAACGGCCCACCAAGGCGACGAGCCAUAGCCGGCAUGAGAGGCUGACCGGCCACAUUGGGACUGAGACACGGCCCAAAAUCCUACGGGAGGCAGCAGUGGGGAAUAUUGCACAAUGGGCGAAAGCCUGAUGCAGCGACGCCGCGUGAGCGAAGAAGUAUUUCGGUAUGUAAAGCUCUAUAAGCAGGGAAGAUAAUGACGUUACCUGACGAAGAAGCACCGGCUAACUACGUG
Molecule: ribosomal RNA, 481 nt
Filed under: uncultured bacterium
Lineage: Bacteria
Description: partial 16S ribosomal RNA
Rfam family: Bacterial small subunit ribosomal RNA
Source: RNAcentral